AUUGAACGCUGGCGGCAGGCCUAACACAUGCAAGUCGAACGAGUGGCGGACGGGUGAGUAAUGUCUGGGAAACUGCCCGCUGGUGGGGGAUAACUACUGGAAACGGUAGCUAAUACCGCAUACCAUCGGAUGUGCCCAGGUGGGAGUAGCUAGUGGGUGGGGUAACGGCUCACCUAGGCGACGAUCCGUAGCUGGUCUGAGAGGAUGACGAGCCACACUGGAACUGAGACACGGUCCAGACUCCUACGGGAGGCAGCAGUGGGGAAUAGUGCACAAUGGGCGCAAGCCUGAUGCAGCCAUGCCGCGUGUAUGAAGAAGGCCUUCGGGUUGUAAAGUACUUUCAGCGGGGAGGCGUUACUCGCAGAAGAAGCACCGGCUAACUCCGUGCCAGCAGCCGCGGUAAUUC
This 406-nucleotide ribosomal RNA is filed under the name uncultured bacterium. RNAcentral's name for it is "partial 16S ribosomal RNA". It matches the Rfam family "Bacterial small subunit ribosomal RNA", at positions 30 to 526 of the family's 1533-position model. The record is from RNAcentral.